Molecule: ribosomal RNA, 301 nt
Filed under: uncultured bacterium
Lineage: Bacteria
Description: partial 16S ribosomal RNA
Rfam family: Bacterial small subunit ribosomal RNA
Source: RNAcentral
CAGUCGCCACGGUAAAACGUAGGUGGCAAGCGUUGUCCGGAAUUAUUGGGCGUAAAGGGCUCGCAGGCGGUUUCUUAAGUCUGAUGUGAAAGCCCCCGGCUCAACCGGGGAGGGUCAUUGGAAACUGGGAAACUUGAGUGCAGAAGAGGAGAGUGGAAUUCCACGUGUAGCGGUGAAAUGCGUAGAGAUGUGGAGGAACACCAGUGGCGAAGGCGACUCUCUGGUCUGUAACUGACGCUGAGGAGCGAAAGCGUGGGGAGCGAACAGGAUUAGAUACCCCAGUAGUCCCUGUCUCUUAUAC